Molecule: non-coding RNA, 5071 nt
Organism: Oryctolagus cuniculus (rabbit)
Lineage: Eukaryota; Metazoa; Chordata; Mammalia; Lagomorpha; Leporidae
Source: RefSeq, a predicted model, not a curated record
CUCCGCCUGACUUCUUAGUGCUUCCCCGUCACUAAGCAUCUUGAGGCGGGGAAAGGGCUUCAGUCCAGACCGAAUAGAAUACAUUCGAAUCCACGUAGUAAUAUCACUGCAUUUUGACAUCAUUUGCCGAUGUUAACGUUCACCUCACGGUACUUGAAGCCAUCCACAUCCUACAUAUAGCUGAGAAGAUUGAGGCAUAUAUGGAUCUGUUCAAUCUAUUCAUGAAUUUGCUGAGUCUUUCUUCUGGCAGUUCAAAUCUACUGAGGAGCAUCAUUUGUGAAUUUUAACAUUUCAGGUCGUGUUCCCAUGAAGAUAGAUGGAGGUUUGUUGGAGGUGUGUCAUGAAUCUGCUGAUAGUAUCCUUAAAGGAGGUUAAAAAGGAGAAGACACAGAAACAUCUGUGGUGAAGAAGGCCAUAUGAAGAUGGAGGCAGAAAUCUGUUAUACUAACACAAGCCAAGGAUCAUUGGGAGCCACCAGAAGCCAAAAGAGGCGAGUAGAGCCUCUCCCUGAGAGCCUAGGAGUGGACACAGGCUUAUUGACUCUGAUUUUACUCUUCUAGUCUCCAGAAUAAGGGAAUCCAUUUCUCCUGUUUUAAGCAAUCCUGGGAAACCAAUACAAUGCCCAUUGUUUCUAAGUGUGAAGUAUGGUGGCUUGGACUUUGGCCUUUAUUUUUAAAGAUUAGGCAUGGGGCAGAAACUUUUUGAGGACAGACUGAUUCUAUUUUUUAGUCACUGAAAACAAAAUUCAGUAUUUUUGAUGUGGUUGCUUGAGGGGCGGAAUAUAUUAGAGAAAAAGAACCAUGACAUUCUAUCCCAAAAAAGCUGUUCUUUUACAUUUUUGGUCCCCUUCUAAUGUCUUCUUGUUUGGGUGAGGCGUCACUGCAUCCAUCUUGUCGUCUUCACCUUCCACAACCAAUCAGCCAUAAAUCCUGAUAAUAACUCCCCAAUGUCAUCUUUUUUUAAAAAAGAUUUAUUUAUUUAGUUGACAGGCAGAGUUACAGAGGGAAGAGGAGAGAGAGGGAGAGAGGGAGAGAGGGAGAAAGAAUCUUCCAUUCACUAGUUCAAUCUCCAAAUGGCCACAAUGGCUGAAGCCACAAGCCAGGAGCUUCUUCUGGGUUUCCCACAUGGGUGCAGGGGCUGAAGGACUUGGACCAUCUUCAGCUGCUUUCUCAGGCACGUUAGCAGGGAGCUGGAUUGGAAGUGGAGCAGCUGGGACUUGAACUGAUGUCCAUAUGAGAAUGAUGGCCCUGCAGGUGGUAGCUUUAUUCGCUAUGCCACAGCGCUGCCCCCGAUCCAGUGUCAUUCUAAUCUAUCCUCUUAUCCACCUCUUCUGCACCUAAAUCCAGGCUUCAUCACAUCUUGCUGGGGUGCCACUGGGAUCUCCUACCUGGCCUCCAUGCCUUUUCUAUUGUUGUUCUGCAAAACAUUUUGCAGCCAGGGUAUCUUAUGCAUUCUUCACAUCCCCAAAUGCCACUUAAAAUACUAUCAUACCUUUCUGGUUCUCUUAGAUAAGGGUCGAUAUCCUUAAUCUGUACUAUAAUGUUACCAACCCUCCAAACUCAUUUCUCCAUUGCCUGCUUCUCUCUGUUUUCUUUUUCCUAUUAGUGAACUUUUGUCAAUUACUCAGAGAAGUUUGUGCUACUUGUCACAAGGGCUUCCCUCAUGCUGUUUCCUGGGACUGCAACAUCUUUCUUUCCUACCUCGUUUCAUAAUUAACAUUCACUCUUCCUUCACCACCUUUUUUUAAAUAAAGAUUUAUUUAUUUAUUUGAGAGACAGAGUUACAGAGAGAGAGAGGAGAGAGGGAGAAACAGAGAGAGAGGUCUUUUGUCCGCUGGUUCACUUCCCGAAUGGCUGCAGUGACUGGAGUUGGGCUGAUUAAAAGCCAGCAUCCAGGAGCUUCCUCUGAGUCUCCCAUGUGGGUUCAGGGGCCCAAGCACUUGGGCCAUCUUUCCUUCUUUCCCAGGCCAUCAGCAGGGAGCUGGACAGGAAGUGGAGUAGCUGGGAAUUGAACUAGCACCCAAAUGGGAUGCCAGUGCUGCAGAUGGAGGCUUAACCUACUAUGCCACAAUGCCAGUCCCCCUUCACUUCCUUGAUCAGUUAUCAUUUGCCCAGGAAAGUGUUCCCUGGCCUUGAUUAUGACCAGUUUUCCUUGUAUCAUGGUUCCUCUGUUAGCAGUUAUAACAGUUUCACUGUUUGUUAGAUUUGUUUGUUUGCCACCUACUGAAAUCUAUGCUCUUGAGAGUAGGGGCUCAAUAAAUUUUUUAUAAGUGAAUUCAUGAACAACAAAUGGAUGAGUGAAUGAAUAAAUGAAAUCAAUGAGGUAAUGAAGAGAAUGAAUGAACAAAGUUUGGUCCAGCUGACAGUGUUGUAAGUCUAGUCCUUGCAAGAUAUGAGGAUCACAAAAUAUUACUUCCUCUAGAAUCUGAAAGUUUGUGCUUUUCAGUCACAAACAAGAGACUAGCUCUGGCUAGGUGAAGUAGAAGAGAUCUGCUGAAACACAGUGGCAGUUCUAGAAAACCAGACUUGUAGACUCUGCAGUCAGCACAGUGCCCAUCAUUGUGUAUACAUUUUUUUUGUGGAGGUGCCAUCAUUACUACCACACCCAGAUUGGAUGAUCUGUGCUGCUGCUUGAAUCAUAACUCCUUUGGAAUCCAGUUGUAGCUGCUGUUUCUGCUGCCAUUUCACCAAAAUUAUUUCUAUGUUAUCCCUUUUUCUUUGAGUCCCCAAUUUCCUUUUCUAAGUCUGAGGUGGAAUUUCUAAGUCUGAGGUGUUUUUAGCAUUUUUAGCUCCACUAAUGGGAGGUGAGGUCAGUCUUACAAGGUUGGGCAAAUACCAACCAUGUUAGGAGUGUAUAGAUGUUGAAGAAAACAAAGAUAAUGAUUGUUUACUGUAACCCACUUGACUAUACAAUAUUAACAUACUUUCCUCCAUUAUUUACAUUAUACAAUAAAAACUGUAUCUGUCUGGUGAAGUUAUCACACUGCAUAUGAGAUAAAGGCACAUCAGUUACUACAUCUACCUCUAAGCCAGCAUCUCUGGUUCUAUCAUGUCAUGACUCAAUAUUCUGAACUAAAUUCUAAAGUUUACUACUACCACAACACCAUAUGUAAAAGAGUAGGAGAAAAGUGUACAAAAAAGAAUAAAAUCAUAUAAGUAAAUACAUGAAGCUACAAGUCUACAAAGCUAUGGUCCUUGUUUCUGUAACCAAUCAUCAGGCUAUAGCUGAAAAUUUAAUUUUCUUUCUCCACUUGCCAUUUUAAUGAUUCUUUUGUGUUCAUCCACUUUGGCUGAUCAGGAUUCUUUACCAGCAUUCUAGAUCUCCAUUACUUAGGGAUAUAAACCCUCUCUGUAUAAUGUUGCUAUUGUCUUUUAGUGAAUUUUACUACUGAAUAUGAAAGUAGAAUAAGGUCUCACGGGGAGAACUUUCCUUUGUGAAAGAGAAGUCCUGCUUGCCCUUAAUAAGUAGAAUCAUUCAUGCUAAUGAGCAACCUCUUUUUUUACCAUUUUGUCUUAAGAGCUCCAAAUUAUAUAUCUCUAUGCCCAAAUCGUUCAUGUCACUGUUGUAUCUCUGGUGGACAAAACCUCUAAAUCAUCAUUGCUCAUGUGGAGGAGAUGAGAUGCAGACAUUUUGAGAUGAGUUGUUAAGUAUAAUAAUGUGAAGUUCAAACCAAAUUGCUUUGAAGAUCCACACAUAUUGACAAGGGGAGAAAAAAUAAUAUAUAUUGAUUUCUGGUUUGUAGUAUAUAUUAUAUCACAUUGAAGGCAUUUUAAUAUCAUAUGCCAGUGUCUAAAAUGAAUCUUUAAUAGGCCAUUCCAUUGUUCCACUAUACCAACUGCUUUUGGGUCAUGAGGAAAGCAGUUAAACUGGUGAAUCUCAUGGGCAUUGAUCCUUUGUUGUAUCUAUCUCAUUGCAAAGUGAGUUCCUUGAUCAGAAGUAACAGCACAUGUUAUAUCAUGAUGGUGAUUAAGUCCAUGGAUAAAGAAACUACCAGAGAAGCACUAUGAUCAGGAAUAGAAAAUAUUAGCACAGAGUAAGUAAGGGCAAAGUAAUCAGAAAUACCUUUCCCCUAUGUGAUCAAAAGGGUACAAUUACCUCAAAUCCAUUAGGUGGAUGGCUAAUUCCCCUGGUAUAUGGUAUCACAGAAGACUUAGUGUUGAUCUCUGCUACUAGCAAGUACAAUCCACAGAAAUGCAACAGUGUUAGCCUUGGUGAGAGGUAGUACAUAUUGUCGUAUAACUUUAAUUUCUGUCUCUAUAGCCACCUUGUUCAUGAACUCAAUGAGCAAAUAUGGGUUGGCAGGGGAAGGAGACUAAGAAAUACCUUUUUAUAAAAAGUCUCCUGCCCUAGGGCAUUGGAUCAUCAUUCACAAAGGACACAAAUAUUCUUUUAACCUAGGGAAUUGAUUCUUUCAUUCUGACUAUCUGGCUGAGCCAUUAGCUGUGGCCCAUACAUGAUAUCUUUGUUAUUUCAGGUCUUCUCUGCUUCUAUGGAAAGUGGCCCACAAGAAGAACUAAUCAAAGUACCAACUGCAGCAGCUCACUCUAAAGAAGUUAUCUGUAGGGCCUGGUACUAUGGUUUAGUAGGCUAAGCCUUUGCCUGCAGCUCUGGCAUCCUCUAUGGACACCACUUUGUGUCCCAGCUGCUCCUUCCAAUCAAGCUCUCUGCUUGUGGCCCUGGAAAGCAGUGGAUAAUGGCCCAAGUGCUUCGGGCCCUGCAUCUGUUUGGGGGAACUGGAAGAAGCUCCUGGAUCCCUGCUUCAGACUGGCUCAGCUCCAGCCAUUGUGACCAUUUUGGGUGUGAACCAACGGAUGGAAUUCCUUUCUGCUGUCUCUCCUUCUCUCUGUAACUCUACCUCUCAAAAAAAAAAAAAUGUCUGGAAAUCAUGUAAAUCAGUCUUGAAACAUCCUCUUGGUCAACCAGCCCACAGAGAAUGUCUCUUCAGAUUUUAAAAUUCUAUUUAUGGAGAGGACAGCAUCCAGCUUUUAGGGGUGAAGCUUCAGUGGUGGACACAUAGGAAAUUUGAGCCAUCUACUUAUAUCUUUAAGAUACUCUCAAACCUGAUUUCAUA